UACGGGGGGGGCAAGCGUUGUUCGGAAUUACUGGGCGUAAAGGGCUCGUAGGCGGCCAACUAAGUCAGACGUGAAAUCCCCAGGCUCAACCUGGGAACUGCGUCUGAUACUGGAUGGCUUGAAUCCGGGAGAGGGAUGCAGAAUUCCAGGUGUAGCGGUGAAAUGCGCAGAUAUCGGAAGGAACACCAGUGGCGAAAGCGGCUUCCUGGUCCAGCACCGACGUUCAGGCACGAAAGCGUGGGGAGCAAACAGG
RNAcentral lists this ribosomal RNA (253 nucleotides) under uncultured bacterium. RNAcentral describes it as "partial 16S ribosomal RNA". It matches the Rfam family "Bacterial small subunit ribosomal RNA", at positions 524 to 776 of the family's 1533-position model. The record is from RNAcentral.